RNAcentral lists this transfer RNA (94 nucleotides) under Streptomyces noursei. Its description in RNAcentral is "tRNA-Arg". Lineage: Bacteria; Bacillati; Actinomycetota; Actinomycetes; Kitasatosporales; Streptomycetaceae. The record is from RNAcentral.
ACGUCGACGGCGGGGCGGGCCGUUUCCGCUCCGCGGAGGCGGACUGCCCGGACGGCUCGGCCGUCGAGGGCCGUUCCGUCGGCGUCGCCGUGCC